Panicum virgatum (switchgrass) is the source of this 1124-nucleotide long non-coding RNA. RefSeq lists it as uncharacterized. The transcript has 4 exons. The record is from RefSeq and is a predicted model, not a curated record. NCBI's taxonomy places the organism in Eukaryota, Viridiplantae, Streptophyta, Magnoliopsida, Poales, Poaceae.
AGCGGCGAGCUCGCAGCGAGGCGGAAGCGGCGAGCUCGCAGCGAGGCGGCAGCUGGUGUCCAGCAGCAGCUGUGGCGUGAUUUUUUUUUGUUUUUUUCAAAGAGCAACACUGUCGGGUGGUGAACCGACGGUAUUAGCUGUACCCAUCACCAUCGAGUUAGAUCAAACGAUGCUCAAAACCGGCGGUGAUGUGUUUUUAGAACCGGCGGUGAAAGGGGUGAAUGGAGUAGUGGAAGUUGUUGGAGCUGGACUAAUCUCUCAUGCUGGUAGUCUUUCCAAUCUUGCCAAGUGCCCUGCCUCCACGCUUUAGAUACUUGGUGCUGAAAAGGCCCUUUUCAGAGCUCUGAAAACUCGUGGAAAUACACCAAAGUAUGGCCUUAUAUUCCACUCAUCAUUCAUUGGCCAUGCAUCACAAAAGAACAAGGGCCGGAUGGCUCGAUAUCUGGCAAACAAGUGUUCCAUCUCUUCACGCAUUGAUUGCUAUUCAGAGUUGAAUACAUCCAUUUUCGGACAGAAACUGCGCGAACAAGUUGAGGAGAGACUUGACUUCUAUGACAAGGGGGUCGCACCUCGUAAGAACCUUGAUGUGCUGAAAGCUGCCAUUGAGGGUAUUACAAAGGAGGUAUUGGAGGAUGCUGAUGGUAAUGAAAAGCAAGAAAAAGAAGUCCACAGCUGAGGUUGGCGGCGAAGCAAUGGAUGUUAAUAAACCUGAUGCUGGAGAAGAUGAACCUAACUUGUUCGAGCCAAGCCCAAAUAACCAAUAUAACCACCAUCUAAUCACUAUGUUCAAUACUUAUUACACAGGUAAACAAACUAAGAUAGAGAAAUUGAGAGAGUACACGGGCGCGCCCUGUUCGAGGUAGUCGAUCGAAGGAGGAAGAUGUUCGCAGUGAGAGUCGAAGGAGGAAGAUAGUCAUGCCGUCUCCUUCUUUUCUUGUGUUCUUUUGUGCUCGCAAGAUUAGGAGACGGGAGUGCUAUCUGGUGGUGCUCAGUUUCUGUAGUUUCUUGCUCAGUUUCUGUAGUUUCUGUGUCACGUAGCAUGUGAAACGGGCAACUAUGCAAAUUAAUUCUCGCAAUUGACGUCAGUCAUUAUAUUAUUUGAUAUUAUUUGGACUUGGCUCAAA